This 134-nucleotide long non-coding RNA is filed under the name Callithrix jacchus (white-tufted-ear marmoset). RNAcentral describes it as "lncRNA (ENSCJAG00000083792.1)". Lineage: Eukaryota; Metazoa; Chordata; Mammalia; Primates; Cebidae. The record is from RNAcentral.
UGGUGGAGAGUGUGGCAGAGCCAGACCAGACGAGGACUGAUCACCUGGAGAAGCAUGCUGUCAAAGGCCUUGUUCUGAAGGCCAGAAUUCUAAAGUCAGUCCCACUGACUCAAGGUGGGAGCAGGGCAGGCACC